Long non-coding RNA from Sinocyclocheilus grahami, 205 nucleotides. RefSeq lists it as uncharacterized. Lineage: Eukaryota; Metazoa; Chordata; Actinopteri; Cypriniformes; Cyprinidae. The record is from RefSeq and is a predicted model, not a curated record. The transcript has 3 exons.
AACCUUCAAAACCGCAGCUCCCUGCAAGACAGUGGAGGAUCUGACCUCAGGGGCAGCCAUGUCUCAGGCCCUGCAUCAGAUAGAUCCUUCAUGGUUCAGUGAGAGCUGGCUGGCCCGUAUUAAAGAGGAUGUUGGAAAUAAUGUGAGACUCAAGAUGAACAACCUCAAAAAGAUCCUGCAGAUGAUGGUUGAUUAUUAUAAUGAG